CUUUGCGGUUUGCACCCAAAAAUGUUGUCUUCCCGUACCUUGGAAUGUUAUGCAGACUCUACCUGGCUGCCCUCCAUUACAAUGAAAAUACUGACUGACCACAGGCAACAUCUACAGGUGGAGAGCUGCUGUACAGUCAACUUCCCCAAAUCUAAGCAUGGAGAAUGAACUGCAAAGCCUGUGAAAGCAGAGCCAACAUUCCACUACAUUGAUGCACUGUUGGACCUGAUCUUUGAGAAGGUUUUCCAGGACCCUGGCCCAUAUGUGAAUGAGGUGCUGAAGCUUGCAAUCCCUGAAGACCUCUCGGCUCAGUAUGAAAGACCCAACAAGCUGGACGUUAUAGCCAGUUACGUGUCAAGGUUCAAUCAAGGACAGGUCUGAACCCAACAUACUGUCCUUCAGCGUCGGGGAACUCUGCAUGAAUCCUCAGCACCACACAGGCAGGCAGCACAGCUCUCACUCUUCGCCUCAGAAAGCACCAGCACCAGCUUACAAAGCUUCUGUAGGCUAGGUAUCUAUAUUGGCUGGACACAAUUCAGUAGAAAGUCAGCACUGAAUGUUCACAUCUAUGGCAACUGGCAAGUUUAACCAUUCCACUUUAGAUAUUUUGUAUGUCUACAAUUGUUUCUUUCAAUAAAACAUCUCUCCCAAC
Long non-coding RNA from Acanthopagrus latus (yellowfin seabream), 652 nucleotides. RefSeq lists it as uncharacterized. NCBI's taxonomy places the organism in Eukaryota, Metazoa, Chordata, Actinopteri, Spariformes, Sparidae. The record is from RefSeq and is a predicted model, not a curated record. The transcript has 3 exons.